RNAcentral lists this ribosomal RNA (468 nucleotides) under uncultured bacterium. RNAcentral describes it as "partial 16S ribosomal RNA". It matches the Rfam family "Bacterial small subunit ribosomal RNA", at positions 28 to 507 of the family's 1533-position model. The record is from RNAcentral.
GACGAACGCUGGCGGCGUGCUUAACACAUGCAAGUCGAACGGAAAGGCCCUGCUUUUGUGGGGUGCUCGAGUGGCGAACGGGUGAGUAACACGUGAGUAACCUGCACUUGACUUUGGGAUAACUUCAGGAAACUGGGGCUAAUACAGGAUAGGAGCUCUUGCUGCAUGGUGGGGGUUGGAAAGUUUCGGCGGUUGGGGAUGGACUCGCGGCUUAUCAGCUUGUUGGUGGGGUAGUGGCUUACCAAGGCUUUGACGGGUAGCCGGCCUGAGAGGGUGACCGGCCACAUUGGGACUGAGAUACGGCCCAGACUCCUACGUGAGGCAGCAGUGGGGAAUAUUGCACAAUGGGCGGAAGCCUGAUGCAGCAACGCCGCGUGCGUGAUGACGUCCUUCGGGUUGUAAACCGCUUUCGCCUGUGACGAAGCGUGAGUGACGGUAAUUGGUAAAGAAGCACCGGCUAACUACGUG